UUUUCAAGCAGAAGACGGCAUACGAGAUUUCGCGGAGUGACUGGAGUUCAGACGUGUGCUCUUCCAAUCUGUUUCCCAGUCACGAUACGGGGCGUUAGUCGCAUGCUGUAGACCCGAAACGGGAUGAGCUAUCCAUGGGCAGGAUGAAGCGGGGGUAAAACCUCGUGGAGGUCCGAACCGGUGACGGUUGAAAACGUCUCGGAUGACUUGUGGAUAGGGGUGAAAGGCCAAUCAAAUUCCGUGAUAGCUGGUUCUCUCCGAAAUGCAUUUAGGUGCAGCGUUAGUUGUUUACCAACGGGGGUACAGCACUCACUUGGCUAGGGGUAUUACCGUACUACCAAACCAUAUGAAACUCUGAAUACCGUUGAGUACAGACUAGCAGUGAGUCUACGGAUGCUAAGGUCCGUGGACAAAAGGGAAAGAGCCCAGACCAUCAGCUAAGGUCCCUAAAUUGACGCUAAGUGGGGAAGGUUGUGGAACUACUGUGACAUCCAGGAGGUUGGCUUAGAAGCAGCCAUCCUUUAAAGAAAGCGUAAUAGCUCACUGGACUAGUGGUUCUGCGCCGAAAAUGUAACGGGGCUUAAGUGUCGUACCGAAGCUAUGGACAAUUUAUUGUGGUAGGAGAGCAUUGUGUUUGCUGAUGAAGGCGUACCGUGAGGAGCGCUGGAGGUCUCACAAGAGCUGAUGCUGAAAUGAGUAGCGAUAAGGAGGGCGAGAAUCCCUCCCGCCGUAAAUCCAAGGGUUCCUGGGCCAGGUAAAUCCUCCCAGGGUAAGCCGGAACCUAAGGCGAGGCCGAAAGGCGUAGUCGAUGGACAACAGGUUAAUAUUCCUGUGCUUGGUACGAAACGUUUGACCGAAGGAGUGACGGAGAAAGGUAGUGGAUCGAGAGAUUGGUUGUUCUCGUGUAAGGGUGUAGGUGGCGCUGGUAGGCAAAUCCGCUGGCGUAUUAAACACUGAGGCCUGAUGCCGAUGCGCAAGCAGAAGUCCAUGACCCUCAGCUUCCAAGAAAAGCUUCGUAGGGAGUUUUGUAUUAAUCCGUACCGUAAACCGACACAGGUGGAUGAGGAGAAAAUCCUAAGGCGCUUGGAAAAACUCUAGCUAAGGAACUCUGCAAAUUACUACUGUAACUUCGGGAGAAGGUACGCCCUUGAAUGUGAAGUCACUUGCUGACGUAGCGUUUGAGGGUCGCAGUGAAAUGGGGGUAGCGACUGUUUACCAAAAACACAGGUCUAUGCAAACACGCAAGUGGAAGUAUAUGGGCUGACGCCUGCCCGGUGCUGGAAGGUUAAAAGGUGAGGUUAGACGCAAGUCGAAGCUUUAAAUUGAAGCCCCAGUAAACGGCGGCCGUAACUAUAACGGUCCUAAGGUAGCGAAAUUCCUAGUCGGGUAAGUUCCGACCUGCACGAAUGGCGUAACGACUUCCCCACUGUCUCAGCUAGAGAUCCAGCGAAAUUGGUGAGCGCGUGAAGAAACGCGCUACCCGCGGAAGGACGAAAAGACCCCGUGAACAUUUACUGU
RNAcentral lists this ribosomal RNA (1518 nucleotides) under freshwater metagenome. RNAcentral describes it as "bacterial LSU rRNA". It matches the Rfam family "Bacterial large subunit ribosomal RNA", at positions 649 to 2107 of the family's 2925-position model. The record is from RNAcentral.